AAUAUACGAGAAUGACGUACAAGUCCCAAAGAAAAAAGUUGAAGAACAAUGUUGUAAUAGUCGUAGUCGAAACAGCAGGAGUAUUUUACCUUCUUGAUUCCCCACCUGCCUUGAGAGAAAUAUAUGAGGGCAAAACCGAGGAAUAUGCACAAAAAAGCUCAUUAAAGGUACGCUACGCUUGACUGAUUUCUAUCCAGCUGCCUAGGCGCUAUCUACCUACCUGCCUGCCUGCCUGUUAGUGAACAGCGAGCACAACGAUUCUUGCUCGUAAUUUCGUAGCGGUCAGGAAAAAACAGAGGUAUCAGCAGCAACGAAGACAAUGAAGCAAUACCAUGGCGUUGCACGAGUAAAGAAAUGGUGGUCUGACUGUGGCUUGCAUUACUCGCGCUGCCUCUUGAGUUGUUGUUGGAGUGGUUCAGUAAAACAGCUGGGCUUGUGUUGAUCGGCCCAGUCGCCUGACGAUUAAACUCAUCAGAGAGCGGCAGUGGUAGAUACUACGGUAGUGAUGCCCCUUUCGACUAGCAAAGAUGGACGUCUGGUCUUGAACUGAGUCGCUUGCCCGAUCAGCUAGCUAUCUUGACCUGCUCUUUAUCCAUAUUGAGUGAAUACCCAUCGAACUAUUCCAUAACUCUCCUGGCUCACUAUACGCCCUGAAGGUACUGUUCCAUACGGCUCCCAGCUGCGUUUCGGUCUAACCUAACAUGACCAAGGCCACCUGAACGUCACCGAGAUAACGCUGCUGGGGGCUGCAAUGCUAGCUAUAGCAGUAGCGGUGGCGUUAAGGGCUCUACUACCAACAGAGAUUCUCAUUCGUUGCUGAUCCAGCGUUCGUUUCUUUUGAAGAAAUCAGGCCAUGCCGCGCUACAGAAAGAGUCCUGUAGAUGCUGUGCCCAUGGAUAACCCCUGAACGUCUCCAUUUGUCGUACUCGGCUCUCGUUCUUUCUAAUUCUAUUUGGCGAGUGGUUCUUCUACUGGGUAACUUUGACCGGCUCCUUGACAAAAUGGUAGCGCUUGCGUGCCAUAACGAAGGGUGAUAACUCUUCGAUGCUUGCUGGCUCGUUCGCUAAUUCAACUUAUUACAGCUGUACAUAGCUGUUCAAAUCGAACAAUGGAAGCCGGUAAAACCAUAGUAACAUUGGAAGUUCAUAGUUCGCCGGCUAGUUAUCGUCGGAUGUUCGUUACUGCCACUGGCAGUUCUACUUUAUCGCCAGAGUCCCGGAAGACCGAUUAGAUCUAGAACUCCUACAAAUCCCAAUGGCGUCAUCGGACAGCCACUCCGCGCUACAUCCAUAGCAGCUUUCAUCAAACGAACUCCGAAAUAGUGGCUGAAGCUCCGAUUCCCUGCAGCAAUAGCGACUACAAUGGAUGAGGGAAGCUGCUUCAGUCGAGGUCGUGAAGGAAAAUAUCAGAUACUUCCUGCCAAAGAGCCUAUCGGGCCUUAGCCAUCGAAGAAGAACUUGCACAUGAAGCCGAACAAGCGGAAGUAGCUAUCGACGAACGAAGCAGCACGCUAGAUAAUGGAACACAAUGGUCAACUGUGCAGCUGCCUGUUUGAACAAUUAGUAGAGAAGCCAUUCGAUGUUUGACGGAGUUUUGUGUUCCCUGUACACAUGCUAUGUUAACUCAGUACUACUAGAUGCAAGAUACUAGGCUGUACAUAUGCGUAAACGAUAAUGCAAUCAACAAAGGUAGACUCCUCUCUGGCAGGAGUUGAGUCGUCUUCACACCUAUUCCUGCUUGACAUCGACACUGAUAUUACUCCUGUUAUUGGCUUUAUUGUUGCCAACAUUGGAAAACGGUAGCCUUUGCGCAAUAGAUGUCGUGAUUAGAAGAUAGCGUUUUAAGAUCUUCCAUGGUGCACACCCUGCUCUUUUUAGCCCUGCCGGCAAGUUUUCCCCUCAGCGGAAGGCCAUUUUGUAUGCUUUAUAGAACCGCGCCAGAUACAUCAUCUCACAAAUCGUGAUUAACCUUCCACUAAUGUGCUAGUCUGUAUAGCAUCAUGUACCUAGACGCUAAGGAAAUAUCUCUACUAUGUAGGAGGCGAGGUAAAUUCUCCAGGUCGUAGAUGCUCUCGCACAACGAUACACCCACAUGUAGAAGGAAAAGCCUUUAGACACUCGGUCGACCAACGACAUAUGCCUACGCCCGGGCAUCACAAGUCACGGUAUAGCCAGUUCGGCAUGGCUUUUUGUCUUACGGGAGACGUUUCUUCCCGACGCUUCUUUUUCUCGUUUUUGGAUUUUUUCCCCCUUCUUGCCUCCUCUCCAACUUUGCCAGCAAAGUGGAUACGGCACAGGGCGAAGUCGUUUUGAUCUGCCGGCAGCAGCAACACCAGCAAAAAAAACAAACAAACAAGCAUUCCCCGAAACAUUGACUUGUAAGGGAUCAGGGGCAAAGAGGGCAGUAGCAGGCGAAAAAGAAAGACGGGCAGAAAAGACACCGGAGAGAAGGCUCUUUUCCUUCGUUUCUCUACCUCUCCACUCAUUCCAUCCCUCACAGUCACUCAGUUUUUCUCAACUCACUGGGGUGCCGCUGCAGCGUUGCUACUGUUCCUUUCGAGGGUCAACUGGGUUAUACUGGAAUACGUGGAUUAAGGGUGGAGUUCACUGUGUAAGUGGAGCCGCUAUCUGCAGUCGCUGGCCUUUUUCAUUCGCUGCAGUUAGCCCUAGCCACAGCUACUCAAUUUCGUCGUCUUUGAGUAUUAACAUUAUAAAGAACCACACUAAGAACAACGCUCUGCGUCCGUUUCAAAAAGAGGCUACUAUCUUGAGAGGCCGACUGGGCUGCAGGGAACUGUACAGUACCAACUCAACCAUUCACUACUGUAAACCCUCAUGUGGGCUGCGCAAGCUAAACAGCGGGCAAGCUGCUCCUUUUCUUUCUCGUUCUCUCCUCGUCUAUCUCAUAAGCUGCUAGAAAGACGACUCUCCUUUUUUCGGUCCCGUAUAAAUCUGCAGGGGCACCUUUACAAUGCGCUGGUGUGCCAAAGCCCCGCUACACCACUGUCGUUAGACGGACGCAUGUGAAAGCCCAACGAUACGCGUGAAAAGCGUUACAAAGACGAAACAUUCUGAAGUAACGACAUAAUGGCCAUAGUUGCUACCGACCAAAGUCCUCCAAUGUCCCAUCGACCGUUUCCUAGCUUGACUUUUAAAGAAGUUCAUCCCAUACAAAGGCAAAAUUUCCUUUAUGUAUAAACCGUAUUUAGAUCAAGUCUGUAUAUUUCCUAUCUAUCAUAGUCCAUUUUUGUCACACUAAAUACCAACCAACACAAUUGAAUUUUAUGAGUAAACUUUUA
Molecule: long non-coding RNA, 3298 nt
Organism: Varroa destructor (honeybee mite)
Lineage: Eukaryota; Metazoa; Arthropoda; Arachnida; Mesostigmata; Varroidae
Gene: Schip1
Source: RefSeq, a predicted model, not a curated record